Molecule: ribosomal RNA, 391 nt
Filed under: Necrosciinae sp. Australia
Lineage: Eukaryota; Metazoa; Arthropoda; Insecta; Phasmatodea; Lonchodidae
Description: partial 12S ribosomal RNA
Source: RNAcentral
UAAACUAGGAUUAGAUACCCUAUUAUAAUAUAUUUAAAUUUUAUANUCAGGGUAGUAUUAGUUAUGUUCUUAAAACCUAAAGAAUUUGGCGGUGUUUUAGUCUAUUUAGAGGAAUUUGCCCCUUAAUCGAUAGUCCUCGUUUUAUCUUACUUGAAUUUGUUUAUCAGUAUGUAUAUCGCCGUUAUAAGUUUAUUUUAUUAGAAUAAAAAUUUACUUUAUUCUUUUGUAUGAAUUAUUUCAGGUCAAGGUGCAGUUUAUAUUUAAGUGGAGGUGGAUUACAAUAAUUUUUGAUUAUAUGGAUUUAUAUUUUAAAAUUUUAAUGAAAGUGGAUUUGAUUGUAAUUUUAAUAACAGUGUUAUUUUGAUUUUAGCUCUAAAAUAAGUACACAUCG